AAAACCUAUGCCUGCCCACACAAGCACAAAUAGGAAGAAACAUACCAAAAUGCUAACAGUGCUCAUCACUGCAAGUUAUAUUUAUUGGGGAUGCUUUCCAAAUUAUGUUUUCUAUAUUUUUCAAAUUUUCUGCAAUGCAUGUGUCAACUUUAUAAUGAGAGAAAAGUACUUAGCAUAUUUGAAGAGCAGUUAUAUGCUGAAUGAGCGGUAGAUUCAGGGAUGACUUGAAGCUGGAACUGCUCAAGAACAGCUUCCCAAUGAGGUGUGACCUUCUCUCUGGGAGUGUCCAGGUCUGCACUGGGUGGGGGAGUUGAACAAGAGAGUGGCCAAGUGUGAGAAAGGUUGGGAUGAAAAGGAAAAUGACCUUUACUGAGCAUCUGCUACAGACUGGUUUCUAUGUUCCAAAGCUGAGAUUAAAAAUCAAAAUAACUUCUGCAAUGAACUAAAGCUGGUAAGUGUUGGAGCUGAGACCUGAAUCCAGGACUUCCUGGCUCUGAAGCACAAAUUUGAAGCAGCCUUCUUCACCUGCAGGAGCCAGGCCUGCAUCAGUCAUCUGUUUAUAAGGCCAACAGCCUGAUCACCUCUUGCAAUCAACCAACAGAAAAUGUUUGCUCACUCCUGGUUUCAACCAUUAGAAACUGAGAGCUUGAAUUUGACAAUGGGAAGCCAGGCGUUCUGUAGGGAGCUCACAGCAAUAUGUUCAUAGGAUGGGAUUCUAUUUAUAUUUUCAGCCUGUGCCACCUCUUGGGAUCACACAGCAGGCAGCAAACUUAUGGAACGUGGUUUCCAUGGAGGCAGAAGGAAGAUAAGGUUGGAGAAGCAGCUGCCUAAAUGGCCUGUGGGCCUGAACAUGAGGGGUGCCCGGCCCUCAGGGACCCCCACUUCUUGUGUUCUUUCAAAGAGUUUUCAAGGUGGAAGAAAACAGAGUUGACUGGGGUUGCAGACUAAGCUGACACAGGUAGGGUGGGGACAGUGUGGCAGGCUCCAGCAAGCACCGGAUCAGUACCUUCAGCCCUAGUACUUCUCAGCUAACUAGUGGUAAAGGUGGGCCUGGGCCUCAGGACCUUAUGGAAAUAGACAUGAAGGUCCAUUUGGAUGGAUGGACUGUGUUUUAAAAGCCUCUGCUUUUGCUAAUGGAUGGUGAAGCCCGUAUGCUGUUGCACCCUCUCCCAGACUCUCUUCACAGGGACCCACAGACUCCUCCACUAGAACCCUCCCCAGCAGACAGCAGCUCCCCUUCAGUUGGUCUGUGGGCACUCGAAGCUGUGUGCAACCAGGCCAAUGAGGUUGGUGAGGCUAAGGAGGAUGGCCUUGAGAAAAACCAAGCCAGGACGUCUGGGAUCAAGAAGACAGAACACACUACAACAGCUGGAAGGAGUGGAGAAAUGUACAGAUAAAGCAAAAUAAUCAGGAUAUGAGAUCUCGUUCCAUGCCCAGUUAAUCAUCUAUAAGCUGUAUUCAAGGCUGCACAUUAACUUCACGAAUACGCCACAGACACCUCAAGUGCAAGAGGUUUAAAGCCAAACUCCGUGUUUUAACCACCCAAUAUGUUUCCUUCCUGUGUUCCCAAUUCCAGAAAAUGCCUCGGUUAGGACUUUCUGAGCCUUAGUUUUUCAACCCACAAAAUGGAGGGAGCAAUGCCUGCUCUGUCUACCUGGGCUGCCAGAGUCAGGUGAGAACCCAGACAGAAACACACAUUGGAAAAUAACAAAUGUGAGGAAGACAGAGACCAGAGCAUGCUCACUCACUGCCAACAUUGGUCACCUCGUUAUUGACUCUCAAAGGAGGGACCCCGUCUCACAUGAGCAUGUGAUGGCACCAUGCAAAUUGCAAUGGGCUGCACCAGCAAAAGAAUGACAAACCAAUGAGGCUGGCACCAUAAGACAAGAGCACCAGAGACUUCCUUCAGAUGCUACACACAGACAUUUCCACAGAGACCCGUUAGAGACUAAAACUGAAUUUUAGUAUGAAACAAGGGACUGACAAUGACAGCAGGAAUUUUCAGCAAGAAGGGAAAGGAGAGCAACACAUAGCGGGCUUGAGGGAGGGCUAAUUGGAGCAAGCAGGGAUGUGGUUAAAAGGGGAGGACCUCAGCGGUAAUCAACUAUAUCGCUUAUUUCCCAGUGGAACCAUUUAAACUGAGAGAGGAUGUGGAGGUUAGCCUCCAGCAUGGCUCACAGUGAUCCCCAUCUCCUGGAAAUCAUAUCCUUGUGUAGUCUCCUCCCAGACUGAAUAGGGGUGACCUGGAGAACCAAUAGGGUAUUGAGGUGAUCACAGUGUUUGACUUCUGCACCUGUGUCAUAAAGCACAUAAUGACAUCUGCCUUGGAUCACUCACUCUGUGGGAAGCCAGCUUCCCUGUGGUGAGGACACUCAAACAGUCUUAGGAAGAAGCUUCCAUGGAGAGUAACUGCAGCCUCCUGACAACAGUCAGCAAGGAACUAAGACUUCCUGCCAACAGCCACAUGAGUGACCCAUCUUGGGAGAUGAUUCUCCAGCCCCAGUCAAACCUUCAGAUGAUGUGGUUCCAGCCAACGUCUUGAGAGCCUGUGAGCAGACUCCCAGUUACACCACUCCCAGAUUUCUGACCCAUUAUACUAUGAGAUAAUUAAUAAAUGAUUGUUGUUUCAAUUCACCCAAGUUUGGGGUUGUUUGUUAUACAUCAACAGAUAACUACUACAGAGGGUGUAUUUCAUUUCUAAUUACUUUCCGUAUUUUUAUACUAUAUCCACAGUCAUUACCUCAUCUGAUUCUUACACUUACUUAUUUUCUCUGGCUCAAAGAUUCAUAAGCUGUGUCUUGGAGAAGUUAAGUAGCAUUUCCAAAUUCACAUUAUGCAUGGUGGCAGAUCCAGGUGAAAUUCCAAGCAUUCUGACUUCUCAUGUUUUCUCUCUGCAUAUAAUCCAGAUGCUGAAAUCACAUUCUGUGGGCAGCUGCAUCAUUGAACAUUGUCUGGAGCCUGCUCUAUUUUGAAAGAACUCUUUGCUGCAUGCUCUAGGGCACAGAUGGAGGCAGCAUCAUAGGUGGGUUAAGGAGUUACCUCAUCUUUGGCACAACCUGCUAAGCUAACCUGAGUACUCCCAGCCAUUAUUCCACAAGCCUCUACCGAGUGCCUCCUGUAUGACAAGUGUCAUGGAACUCAUAUCAACAGCAUGCAUUUCCUGGAGGCACAGUUCAAUAGAGAGCUGGGGGUGAAAAAAAAAAGAGAAAAGAAAAAAUAAGAAAGCUAUAACAUUUGAGCUUGAAAUGUCACAGGGAGCCAAGGAAGUUGUCUGAUGGAUUGCCCUGUCAUCGCCAAGCCAAAAGAAAAAAAACUUUCAGAUCCAUCAAUUUGUUCCUGCCCUUUUAAUCCAAACAAUAUUUUACAGCAUCAGAACGCAAAGAAAUUAUUUUCUUAGACAUUCAACUCCGCAUGUGGACUGCUGAGCACUUAACCAGAAAGCAGCAAGUGAGAACUGUAGGUUGUUCAAGUGUCUGCACAUCUGAUUGAUCCAGAUUGAAUGUAUAAUAUACUGGAACACAUAUGAGAGCCUACUGGUGACAUAUGUUCAUUCAUUCAUUCAUCCAUGAGGAGUUGACAUCUCUUUGCCAUAGACAAUGAAUUUGAAGAGACACCUGUGUACACGUGCACCAGCUGCCCAGGAUGAGGACUGCUCCUGCCUGCUCUGGACCUGCUCCUCCCUUUGGCUGGCUUUCCAAUUAGUGUAGACCUGUUCUCCAGUAUCCCAGCCUCUCCUCGGGCCACAUUUGAGGAUACCACCAUCCACCCCUUGGAUCAAAUGUUUGGCUCUUGGGCUCAGACCGUGUUGGGAUAUAGCUUUAUUUGCAAAGUAGGCUGAAAAAUUCCCUCUCCUGACAAGGAAAGCUGAUUGGCAGUAUGAAGAGUACAUUGCAGAAGUUUUGAGGAGGACAAGCACUUACAAUGGCUUUACAAGGAUGGCUGGCCAAGUGAGAUAGAAUUUAACAUGGGUAUUUGUCAGCCCUCAAACAAGUCCUGCCUUCUUUCCUCCAGGUCUUUAUUCACACUGCUUCUGCCUCCUCUAAGCAAUCCUUCCUGAUUUCCCCCGUCCCCUCAGUCAGUGUGCUCUCUCCCUGUCCCCUUGUUGUUGGUUCCUCUAUCUUGGUGAUCUGCUUUGCAUGUGAACGACCCAUGUGUGCGUCUAUUUCUCUCACUAUAUUGUAAUAUCCAUGGGGCUUAACUGUGUCUGUAUUCCUACACGAUGUCUAGCACAAGGAAUAAUAAAUCUUUAUUACAAUGACUUGAAUGGGAAGAAAUGUAAAGUGGGCAUGUCCUGUAUUGCUUGUGGGAUAAGUGGAGUCAUCAUCUGUUUGUUCAUACAAAGACUUGUACAUGAAUGUUCAUGUGAGCCUUAUUCAUAAUCGCCAAAAACUGGAAAUAACUCAAAUGUCUACAUCAAUGCAAUUGAAUACUACUCAGCGAUAAAAAGGAAAGAACUACUGGCGUAUGCAACAACAUAGAUUAAUCUCAAAGGCAUCAUGCUAAGUAAAAAGUCCAGACAUAAAAAACUGUAUACUGUUAGAUUCUAUUUAUAAGAAAUUCUAGAAAAUGAAAAACUGUAGUGACAGAAAGCAGACUAGUGGCUGUAUGGGACAACAGAUGGCAGGAAGUGGGUUGAAACAGUGGGAACAUUAUUUGUUCCCGGGGACACAGGGAAGUAAUAGAAAUGAACUAAUCCUGAUUGUGGUGAAAUUUGCACAGCUGUGUUCAUAUUCUCACACUCACCAAACAGUAUAUUUAAAAUAGAUGAAUGUUAUUGCAUAAAAUUAUACUUCCAGAAAGCUAUAGAAGAAAAUUGGCCAGAAUGUGAAGGAUUUUGGGUGCAACUUAAGAUGUUUGAAAUCUAUCAUUGGCUAUAGAAGCACUAAAAUGUUUGAAGAAGGGAGAAAUGGAUGGUGUUGGAGAGAAGAUACUGGGUACAAGAGUUUUUUUGUUUUUUUUUGUUUUUUUUUUGGUUUUUUUGAGAAGGAAUCUCACUCUGUCACCCAAGCUGGAGUGCAGUGGCGCUAUCUCAGCUCACUGCAAGCUCCACCUCCUGGGUUUGCGCCAUUCUCCUGCCUCAGCCACCCGAGUAGCUGGGACCACAGGCGCCUGCCACUACACCCGGCUAAUUUUUUGUAUUUUUAGUAGAGAUGGGGUUUGUCCAUGUUAGCCACGAUGGUUUUGAUCUCCUGAGCUCACGAUCUGCCCGCCUUUGCCCCCCGAAGUGCUGGGAUUACAGGCAUGAGCCACUGUACCUGGCCAAGGCUUUUUAAUGAAUUAUGAAAUAGAACAGAGAAGAUUAUGGCCUAGGUAAAGGUGGGAACAAAGGAAAUAGAAAUGAUCAGAUGGAUGCAGGAGACUCAGCAAUGAAAUAAUCACAGACCCUGCGAUUGAGGACUAAAAAGAUGCAUGUUUUGGCUGAGCCUUUAGUUUGAUGAUCUUGGUGAGAGAUGCUUGUACAAACCUGGAGCCAGCUUGGGGAGAAAGUGGGUGGAUCCAAGGUCCCGAAUUCUACCAUGGAAACAAAUUUAGAAACUUGGUUUAAGCUAGAUGCCAAAUUGAUUCCACAGGAUUGCCAAAUAUUAGGAGGGCAGGGACAAAGAUACUGGCAUUAGUGAUGUGAGGAGGCAUGAGACUCCAUGUGGAAAUGGAGGCUUAUGGACAUGGAUUCCUUUUGUAAGGGCCUGCCCUCAGGAAGCCUCUCUGUCUGCCAGGUGAAACGUGUAAGAGGGAGCCAAGGAACUAAAGGGAUGAUUUAGGCCUGAGUGCCAGAGAGCAUUGCACCACCACUGAUAGACCCGGAGAACCCAGAAUGGGAGAUGCUCAGGGACAGUGGUGGUGAAGAGAAAAUACAGAAAGGGAACUUUGAUGGCAUCCAGUCCUACCUACCUCGCCAAAGAAGACACUUCUGCUAUGUCCCCAGUACCAUUUGGGUUGAGCAUUCUUCUAGAAACAUGAAGUCUACUGCUUUGUGAAGAGUUGGCUCCAUUACUGGACAGCUCUAAAUGCAGGUGAUGAUGAUGACGAUGAUGAUGAUGAUGAUGAUGAUGAUGAUGAUGAUGAUGAUGAUGAUACAAAGAGGAGCAGGAGAAGAGGACAGCUAACAUGUAUUGAGCAGUCUCCUUCUGCCGGACAUUCUUCUAGGCUGUACAUGCACUGUCUUAUUUAAUCCUCAAAAUAACACUAUAAGAUAGGCACUAUAAUUAUCUAUCCUCGUUUUGCAGAUGACAAAAUGAAGGCACAGAGAAAUGAUAUAGCUUGCUCAAGGUCAUACAGAAGUGGUCGACCUGGGAUUUGAACCCAUGUCAUCUGAUGGCAGAGCCUUCACAAGACUGGCAUGUGUUGCUUGCUAGUGAUUCCAUAUCUACCUGUCUGUAAUUUCUGUCUAAUUCCAUUUUCUGUAGGAAUUCAAAUCAGUAAACAGAAACUUUUUUGCAUCUUUUCAAAUGUGUUAAGACAGCAAAGUGUACAUUUUCUCUGGAUUUUCUCUUCUGUAUGUUAAAUACAUCCAUUCUAUCAAGUGUUCCAUAAGAGGAGAUCAUUCUAGUGCCCUUACCAUCUUGGUGCUCCUUAUUGAAUAUCCCUGAGUUGGUAAUAAUUCUCACUGAAGGUGAAAGCUAGAAGUAAACACAGUACUCCCAGUAUGAUUCAAUCUGAAUGGAGUAAAAUAAGAGAAUGUAGUGCAUUAUGGUUCCCUGUGUGGGGGUAGAGCAGAUGGCAAGAAGACUAGGCCUGGAGAAAAGCCCACUGUAAAAGGAUGGGGUGAUACUGAAUCAGAAAAGAAGACGAAACAAUGAGUUUAAGGAGGAUAAGAACUGAGAACUUAAACAGAUCUGCUGGCUUAGGGAGAGUCAUUGGGAAGAAAUGCAGGAGCUAUGGAAAUAGUAGGUAAUGAGCCAGCAGGAGGGACUACGUGUUGUCCUCUCUGGUUACAAAAGGAAAGGGAAAAGGACAGUGGCUGGUGGGAGGUGGAACAGACAGAAGGAUCAAGUAAGAGGUUGUUUACAUGCUAGGAAAGUGAGGAUGGUGCAUAAGGCAGGGAAAGGAUUGUCAAUAGAGAGGAAAGAAUGCACGAAGAGGGAAAGACUGAAGUUGCUGCAGCCAGAGUCAGAUGGAGACAGCAGGUGAGAUGAAAGGUAAAGGAAGCACUUUGUGGGUAGAGACAGCAAUAUCUGAAGGUGCAGAGAAGGAGGGCUGAUAACACCUCUCACAUACUGCUUCAUGUUGUGCAAAGGUUUUCCAUGUUCAUUAUCUCAUGGGAUCACACACCAGUCCUGAGAGGGGAAAUACUACUAUUUGUAGUUUACCAUGGAAGACAAUGGAGAGUCAAAGAAGGUAAGUGACUUCCCCAGUGCUAUGAAAGGAAUACAAUUUUCUGAUUUCUUGUCCCUUUUUCUGAGUCUAUGACUACAGCCUAUUACACUGUGUCCCAGAGAGCUCAGUAAGAUGUGAAUCAAGACCAUGUCCCAAAAGGGAACCAAGGGAAGUGAAUUGUUGAGAGAAAUUAGGAACUAAGGAGAGCUGGGAAAAUUGAGCACAUUGCUUAGAAAAGGGGUCAAUGAGAAAUAGAGAGUUGGUCUGUCAACAUCAAGAGCAUCAAGGAAGAUAGCCUAAGUCUGCACUAAUUUAAAGGAAGCCAACCCCAACCUACUCCUGUGUCCUGAGAAACAAUACUCCACCCAUUAAUCCCACUGAAUUUAAUGAAUGCCACAGUGUAUCAGAGAAACAGUAGGUGACUCAGAGCAGGAGCAGGAGUUUUGUGCGGCCAGACACAGGGUACAAGGUAUAAGAUGUACAUGAAUCAGGAUGAUGGUCAUGCCGGGCAGGAUGUUACCAAAGAUUGAUGUGCCUGCAAAGGGACCCAUAGGAAAGAAAGAGGACUCGGUGGAAGGGGGUGAUCUGAGAAGGUUUCUGGGGACUGCUGAGCCCAGAAUUUCACACAUGUAUAAGCAUGGUGGUGAGAGUAGCUACAAAAAUUAAGAAACCUUAAUGUUAGUGAAUGUGUUUGGCUGAAGACAAGUCCUUUUACUAAAAGGGCUGUAAAGCUCUCCCAUAAGGGUUGGCAAAGGAAGCCUUUGUAAAAUCUGGUGUGGAGAAGGGGCAUGAUGAGUCAACAUGGCAUUGAAACUGUCCAUGAGAAAUCAGGUUAGGAGGCUAAUGAAACACGGUGUGAAGGCCUAAACUAGGGUUCUGGCAAUAAUGAUAGGAAAAAAUGUUAUGAAAGGGAUAAUAAAUUGAUUUGGUUACUGAAUAAGACAUAGAGAAUGAAGGAGAAGACAGAAGUCAAGAAUGAGUCUUGAUCAUCAAUGAAAUCAUAGCAAUGUUGAUGGAUAAAUAAAAAUUAGAAGAGUCAUAGUUAAUGAGGAGAGGAGAGCUUAAGAGAACACAGGGAGAUAUGCAUAGAUACCUGGAGACACAGUCUGAUGUUCUCAUCAGUGAUCAGGUCUAAGUGAUGAGAUUCAGAGGUCAUCUAUAAGGAGAGACGUAUGACUCCUUGAGUGUGGGGAACAAGGUAGAGAAGCAGAAGGCCAUGGUCUGAGCCUUGAGUGACAUCAGAGAAAUUUUCUAUCUGCUAGGGAAGUGGGAAGAAACAUUUCAAUUAAAAAGCAUUUCAAUUCAAUAAUGAGAGAUACUGGAAAAAGAAGCUGAAGGCAUCAAAACUUAGAGAUGGUAAGGAAGUCG
This 8682-nucleotide long non-coding RNA is filed under the name Homo sapiens (human). RNAcentral's name for it is "HSALNT0038124". Lineage: Eukaryota; Metazoa; Chordata; Mammalia; Primates; Hominidae. The record is from RNAcentral.